CCUGUGUGAUGAUAAACAUAAGACUGACUUAAAUGUGAUGUCAGUUUAUUAGCUCUAGCUGAAC
Molecule: small nucleolar RNA, 64 nt
Organism: Cynoglossus semilaevis (tongue sole)
Lineage: Eukaryota; Metazoa; Chordata; Actinopteri; Pleuronectiformes; Cynoglossidae
Product: small nucleolar RNA SNORD44
Exons: 1
Source: RefSeq, a predicted model, not a curated record